GAGACCCACGCCAACAGUUGCCAGCUCGUCCUCCGGGAUGGAGGAGACACUGUUGGGACCGCCUCUGCUAAAGAGGAGGAAGGAAUGGGCAACGGUAGGUCAGCAUGCCCCGAAUUAUCCGGGCUACACGCGGGCUACAAUGGGUGGGACAAUGGGUAUCGACACCGAAAGGUGAAGGCAAUCUCCUAAACCCAUCCUUAGUUCGGAUUGUGGGCUGCAACUCGCCCACAUGAAGCUGGAAUCCGUAGUAAUCGUGUUUCAAAAUAGCACGGUGAAUAU
RNAcentral lists this ribosomal RNA (279 nucleotides) under uncultured archaeon. RNAcentral's name for it is "partial 16S rRNA". It matches the Rfam family "Archaeal small subunit ribosomal RNA", at positions 1047 to 1325 of the family's 1478-position model. The record is from RNAcentral.